Suricata suricatta (meerkat) is the source of this 718-nucleotide long non-coding RNA. RefSeq lists it as uncharacterized. The record is from RefSeq and is a predicted model, not a curated record. The transcript has 3 exons. NCBI's taxonomy places the organism in Eukaryota, Metazoa, Chordata, Mammalia, Carnivora, Herpestidae.
CUUCCCUGAUGGCUUCAAAUCCUACUACUUUAAGCAUCAAAAUUUUUAAGACACUCAUGGUUUUCAAUGGAAAGCCUUCUUCAUUAUAGUCUAUGCUCUCUUCUUUCUAAACAGAUUACACUGAAAUUUUAAUAUCUCUUUGAUGAUUCAUCCUCAUGCACAUCAGUGACUCUCUCCGUGGGGGCCAUACUUUUGGGUAGAUAAUUCAAAACGGACCUUUCCGAAAGUUGAAGUUUGUACUGCAUUUCGGUCCAUACCUGAGACUUAUUCUUAAGGACUAAACUGGCUGAAAGGGCAAGACUUGUUGCUAGGAGACACACCGCAGGUUUUCAGGCUUUGCGAAAACCCUUCUUCAGGGACACGGAGCUUCUCGGUUGUCUCCUCAGAUUCUUCAGAGCUAACUGGUUUUGCAUCCAUGUUACCAAAACUCCUUGUGCGAAUUCUGAUGCCUUGUUGACUUGAUAACAUUUCCCCAGAUCCUGCUGCGUGCCUGACUAUCCCCAGGGUAUGGUCACAACAGUCCUUCCCCCACUUUCUGUCUUCCCCUGAGUAAAGAUAACUAAAUGGGGGCACCUGGGGGGCUCGGUCAGUUAAGCAUGAGACUCUUGAUUUUGGCCCAAGUCACCAUCUCCCGGUUCUCAUGAUUGCACUGUCAGCAUGGAGUCUGCUUGGGAUUCUCUGUUUCCCUCUCUCUCUCUCUGCCCUUCCUUCACUCAUG